UACGGAGGAUCCGAGCGUUAUCCGGAAUUAUUGGGUUUAAAGGGUGCGUAGGCGGCCAUUUAAGUCAGUGGUGAAAGCCUGCAGCUUAACUGCAGAACUGCCAUUGAUACUGAUAGUCUUGAGUUUGGUUAAGGUAGGCGGAAUGUGUAAUGUAGUGGUGAAAUGCUUAGAUAUUACACAGAACACCGAUUGCGAAGGCAGCUUGCUGGGCCAUUACUGACGCUGAUGCACGAAAGUGUGGGGAUCAAACAGGA
RNAcentral lists this ribosomal RNA (254 nucleotides) under uncultured prokaryote. RNAcentral describes it as "partial 16S ribosomal RNA". It matches the Rfam family "Bacterial small subunit ribosomal RNA", at positions 524 to 777 of the family's 1533-position model. The record is from RNAcentral.